CGCGUCUUAAGCAUGCAAGUCGGACGAAUGGCCACCCUCGGGUGGCCGGAAGUGGCGGACGGGUGAGUAACACGUGGGUAAUCUGCCCUCCGGUGGGGAAUAGCACAUGGAAACAUGUGAUAAUACCGCAUGAUACGGCCCUGCGGAUGCAGGGUCGGGAAAGCUCCUGCGGGAGCGCCGGGGGAUGAGCCUGCGGCCCAUUAGCUAGUUGGCGGGGUAAAGGCCCACCAAGGCGACGAUGGGUAGCCGGACUGAGAGGUUGAACGGCCACAUUGGGAUUGAGAACGGCCCAGACUCCUACGGGAGGCAGCAGCUAAGAAUCUUCCACAAUGGACGGAAGUCUGAUGGAGCGACGCCGCGUGGACGAUGAAGGCCGUGAGGUUGUAAAGUCCUUUUCGGGAGGGGGAAUAACCCGGGGAGGGAAUGCCCCGGGGAUGACGUGAAUCCCGGAAUAAGCCCCGGCUAACUACGUGCCAGCAGCCGCGGUAAUACGUAGGGGGCGAGCGUUGUUCGGAAUCAUUGGGCGUAAAGGGUGCGCAGGUGGCCCGACAAGUCUGGCGUUAAAGUGCGGGGCUCAACUCCGUGAUGCGCUGGAAACUGUCUGGCUUGAGUACAGCAGGGGGCGUCGGAAUUCCAGGUGUAGGGGUGAAAUCUGUAGAUAUCUGGAAGAACACCGGUGGCGAAGGCGGACGCCUGGGCAUGUACUGACACUGAGGCACGAAGGUGCGGGGAGCAAACAGGUUUAGAUACCCUGGUAGUCCGCACAGUAAACGAUGCACACUGGGUGUCGGGGGCAACCCCGGUACCGUAGCAAACGCGUUAAGUGUGCCGCCUGGGGAGUAUGCCCGCAAGGGUGAAACUCAAAGGAAUUGACGGGGGCCCGCACAAGCGGUGGAGCAUGUGGUUUAAUUCGAU
Molecule: ribosomal RNA, 915 nt
Filed under: gut metagenome
Description: bacterial SSU rRNA
Rfam family: Bacterial small subunit ribosomal RNA
Source: RNAcentral